This 490-nucleotide ribosomal RNA is filed under the name uncultured bacterium. RNAcentral's name for it is "partial 16S ribosomal RNA". It matches the Rfam family "Bacterial small subunit ribosomal RNA", at positions 30 to 507 of the family's 1533-position model. The record is from RNAcentral.
AUUGAACGCUGGCGGCAGGCCUAACACAUGCAAGUCGAACGGUAACAGGAAACAGCUUGCUGUUUCGCUGACGAGUGGCGGACGGGUGAGUAAUGUCUGGGAAACUGCCUGAUGGAGGGGGAUAACUACUGGAGACGGUAGCUAAUACCGCAUAACGUCGCAAGACCAAAGAGGGGGACCCUCGGGCCUCUUGCCAUCGGAUGUGCCCAGAUGGGAUUAGCUUGUUGGUGGGGUAACGGCUCACCAAGGCGACGAUCCCUAGCUGGUCUGAGAGGAUGACCAGCCACACUGGAACUGAGACACGGUCCAGACUCCUACGGGAGGCAGCAGUGGGUAAUAUUGCACAAUGGGCGCAAGCCUGAUGCAGCCAUGCCGCGUGUAUGAAGAAGGCCUUCGGGUUGUAAAGUACUUUCAGCGGGGAGGAAGGGAGUAAAGUUAAUACCUUUGCUCAUUGACGUUACCCGCAGAAGAAGCACCGGCUAACUCCGUG